GUUGAAGGUUGGGUAACACUAACUGGAGGACCGAACCGACUAAUGUUGAAAAAUUAGCGGAUGACUUGUGGCUGGGGGUGAAAGGCCAAUCAAACCGGGAGAUAGCUGGUUCUCCCCGAAAGCUAUUUAGGUAGCGCCUCGUGAAUUCAUCUCCGGGGGUAGAGCACUGUUUCGGCAAGGGGGUCAUCCCGACUUACCAACCCGAUGCAAACUGCGAAUACCGGAGAAUGUUAUCACGGGAGACACACGGCGGGUGCUAACGUCCGUCGUGAAGAGGGAAACAACCCAGACCGCCAGCUAAGGUCCCAAAGUCAUGGUUAAGUGGGAAACGAUGUGGGAAGGCCCAGACAGCCAGGAUGUUGGCUUAGAAGCAGCCAUCAUUUAAAGAAAGCGUAAUAGCUCACUGGUCGAGUCGGCCUGCGCGGAAGAUGUAACGGGGCUAAACCAUGCAC
This 452-nucleotide ribosomal RNA is filed under the name Escherichia coli. RNAcentral's name for it is "partial 23S ribosomal RNA". It matches the Rfam family "Bacterial large subunit ribosomal RNA", at positions 744 to 1194 of the family's 2925-position model. The record is from RNAcentral. Lineage: Bacteria; Pseudomonadati; Pseudomonadota; Gammaproteobacteria; Enterobacterales; Enterobacteriaceae.